GCCCAGAUGGCGGAAUUGGUAGACGCACUAGGUUCAGGUCCUAGCGCCGGCAACGGUGUGGAGGUUCGAGUCCUCUUCUGGGCA
This is a non-coding RNA of Hydrogenophilaceae bacterium CG1_02_62_390, 84 nucleotides long. Lineage: Bacteria; Pseudomonadati; Pseudomonadota; Hydrogenophilia; Hydrogenophilales; Hydrogenophilaceae. The record is from Rfam.